Molecule: ribosomal RNA, 494 nt
Filed under: uncultured bacterium
Lineage: Bacteria
Description: bacterial SSU rRNA
Rfam family: Bacterial small subunit ribosomal RNA
Source: RNAcentral
GAACGCUAGCGACAGGCUAACACAUGCAAGUCGAGGGGCAGCAUAGAAGUAGCAAUACGUUGGUGGCGACCGGCGCACGGGUGAGUAACGCGUAUGCAACCUACCUAUCAGAGGGGAAUAACCCGGCGAAAGUCGGACUAAUACCGCAUAAAACAGGGGCACCGCAUGGUGAUAUUUGUUAAAGAAAUUCGCUGAUAGAUGGGCAUGCGUUCCAUUAGGUAGUUGGUGAGGUAACGACUCACCAAGCCGACGAUGGAUAGGGAACUGAGAGGUUGGUCCCCCACACUGGUACUGAGACACGGACCAGACUCCUACGGGAGGCAGCAGUGAGGAAUAUUGGUCAAUGGGCGGGAGCCUGAACCAGCCAAGUCGCGUGAAGGAAGAAGGAUCUAUGGUUCGUAAACUUCUUUUGCAGGGGAAUAAAGUGCAGGACGUGUCCUGUUUUGUUAUGUACCCUGAGAAUAAGGAUCGGCUAACUCCGUGCCAGCCGCCGC